GCAAAGCGAGAGCCAGAGAAGGCGGCUUCCGAAAGCGCUUACCGCACCCGCAGAAGAGGAUGGAAAAUGAAUACAAUAGUUCCCUCUGAAGAGAAGCCAAAGGCCUUGGGCCAGUACAGGUCUUCGCAGCCAGCAUCUUCUACUGCAUCCAAAAACCUACCACUGAUCACGGCAGCUCCUGCAGCAGCGGUCUAAUGAAAUUCACUUCCAAACAUCUUGAUUUGUAACAACAAGGUAAAAGAUUUAAAGGCUGCUUGACUCCAAAACAACAUUUGGUGGCUUAUAUUUUGAAAGAAUAGAAAACAAUAAAAAAGAAAGAAAGAAACCAUGUACUGUAUGUCCAGACAAGACAAAUUCCACAUGUUCCAAAAGAUUCUGGGAUUGAAGCAUUCUACUUUCUAGAGCACUGUGCCACUUGCUGUGCUUUCUGUUCAGCAAGCAAGUUGUCCUCCCAGGUGGAUGUGAGCUAAUGGCGCAGCAGGCCACGAUCUAUGCCUCUCUAAAGUCUUUCUUACCCACACAAGGCCACAGUGGAUACUCAUCAAUCAAGACUCAACAUGGUACAGUGACGGGGUUACAAGAUUAAGAUCGAUCAUGAAGAUCCAAAGACAGAUCCCUGGUUGACUCUGAACCCAUCCUUUCCUCUCUGUUUAACCUACCUUUGAAGAGUUGUUGUAAGAAUAAAAUGGAGGUAGAAUCUGUAAUAUGUGGUAAUAUUUAGAUCAAUCCCUCUUUUACGUACAGGGCAAAUAUCCAACCCACCAAGGUAAGCACUUUGUAGAGUGCCUCCAAAACCUGUGAUUAAAAUCAACAGUUUUCCCAGCUGGGUCUUCAAUACACUUCAAAUGGACUUGAUGUUUUGGGACUUGAAGAUGAUCUGUUGUGUUGAUGUUGUUAAUUGCUGCGUACAUGCACAAUCUCCGGUUGUAUUAGUAUAAAUGGAGGCAGGAAAGAGCAGAGGAGAUAUAGGCUAAGAAGCUGGUAGGUUAAUAACAGGAAUGCAUGCAACAAUGGCCAGUCAAUGAGAAUGGAGACACUACCUUUGAUGCAAAUGAUCUCUUGAAUGCCAAGGCGUGUGGUAUGUAAAUCGACUUUAAAAAUGGGGAGGGAGGGGAAGGAGUAGCAAAGGCAAAAAUAAAAGAAAUACACAAAAUGGAGCAAGAUCAGUUCAACAUAAUAACACUCAAUACAGAAAGACAACAAUAAACAAAAAUGCUGCUUGAAAUAUAACAUGAAACUACAGAAUACAAAUACUUCAGAAUUUGGAAAUACGCAAUGGAAGCAUAUACAGUAGCUUUACAAGAAAUAAAGUAAAAUAAAAUAAAAUAAUCUUUGGGGUCCCAAAGUUAUUAGUUGCAUUUGCAUUUUCAAAAUUUGCAAAUUUUAUGCAAAUAUGCAAAAGGCAAUCACUUCCUAAGUCUCAGUGUUAGAUUUUAAGGUCUUGGGAUAUUGAAUUUUGGAUCUAACACUUUAUUUGGGUAAGUAAGUAUGCCAAAACACUGACAGGACUGCACAAAACACAGAAUUAUUUCUUAUUCUGAAUGCCUGCCCUUCAAUACUUUUGGCAACACAUUCACUUUUUCUGAAACUAAGCACAAAAACAUGAACAGGGAAGUGAGAAAGGUUGGGUGAGUUUUAAAUAAAAUUUCUGCAUUUAGGAAAAGGCAACAUAUUUUUGAGCAAUCUGCAACUACAUGAUUUAAAUGUUUCAUGACAGCAGCAUAUACAUAUAUGACGAUAACUGAUUCAGGAAUACAAGCUACAAGAAAUUAUAUAUUUAUUUAGCAGAUGCUUUCAACAUUAUACAUCAGAUCCCCCGCCUUCCCAAUGCUAGGCAGUAAUGUCAUUUUAGUCACUACAAAACAGGCAGCUGAGCCUUGGUCUAGAACAGUGGUUCUCAACCUGUGGGUCAGGACCCCUUUGGGGGUCGAAUGACUCUUUCACAGGGGUCGCUUAAGACCAUAGGAAAACACAUAUUUUCAAUGGUUUUAGGAAUAAUUUUAUGGUUGGGGGUCACCACAACAUGCAGAACUGUAUUAAAGGGUCGCGGCAUUAGGAAGGUUGAGACCCACUGGUCUAGAAGCUAUGCACGAGUAACUUUUACUGUUUGGAAAAUCACACUGACUGUGCUUUGUUUCCCUGGCGUGACAAUGUUCUCUAGAAACUUGAGAGUUGGAAUAAAAAUUUAGACUGAACUGAUUUUA
This is a non-coding RNA of Pantherophis guttatus, 2204 nucleotides long. The record is from RefSeq and is a predicted model, not a curated record. NCBI's taxonomy places the organism in Eukaryota, Metazoa, Chordata, Lepidosauria, Squamata, Colubridae.